GACGAACGCUGGCGGCACGCUUAACACAUGCAAGUCGAACGAGAGAAGAGAAGCUUGCUUUUCUGAUCUAGUGGCGGACGGGUGAGUAACACGUGAGCAAUCUGUCUUUCAGAGGGGGAUACCGAUUGGAAACGAUCGUUAAUACCGCAUAACAUAAUUGAACCGCAUGAUUUGAUUAUCAAAGAUUUAUCGCUGAAAGAUGAGCUCGCGUCUGAUUAGCUAGUUGGUAAGGUAACGGCUUACCAAGGCGACGAUCAGUAGCCGGACUGAGAGGUUGAUCGGCCACAUUGGGACUGAGACACGGCCCAGACUCCUACGGGAGGCAGCAGUGGGGAAUAUUGCACAAUGGAGGAAACUCUGAUGCAGCGAUGCCGCGUGAGGGAAGAAGGUUUUAGGAUUGUAAACCUCUGUCUUCAGGGACGAAAA
RNAcentral lists this ribosomal RNA (426 nucleotides) under uncultured bacterium. RNAcentral describes it as "bacterial SSU rRNA". It matches the Rfam family "Bacterial small subunit ribosomal RNA", at positions 28 to 451 of the family's 1533-position model. The record is from RNAcentral.